AACGAACGCUGGCGGCAUGCCUAAUACAUGCAAGUCGAACGAGAUCUUCGGAUCUAUUGUCGCACGGUUGCGUAACGCGUGGGAAUCUUCCCUUGGGUUCGGAAUAACUUCUGGAAACGGAAGCUAAUACCGGAUGAUGACUUAAGUCCAAAGAUUUAUCGCCCAAGGAUGAGCCCGCGUAGGAUUAGCUAGUUGGUGGGGUAAAGGCACACCAAGGCGACGAUCCUUAGCUGGUCUGAGAGGAUGAUCAGCCACACUGGGACUGAGACACGGCCCAGACUCCUACGGGAGGCAGCAGUAGGGAAUAUUGGACAAUGGGGGAAACCCUGAUCCAGCAAUGCCGCGUGAGUGAUGAAGGCCUUAGGGUUGUAAAGCUCUUUUACCCGGGAUGAUAAUGACAGUACCGGGAGAAUAAGCUCCGGCUAACUCCGUG
RNAcentral lists this ribosomal RNA (433 nucleotides) under uncultured bacterium. RNAcentral describes it as "partial 16S ribosomal RNA". It matches the Rfam family "Bacterial small subunit ribosomal RNA", at positions 29 to 507 of the family's 1533-position model. The record is from RNAcentral.